CUUCUAGUAUAGAUUUGGACUUUGGGUAUACAUACAUACAUGUUGUAUGCUAGGAGACAUUGCUUACUUGCAUUCAUAUAAACAAUGUUGCUAUGAUAAAGGAUAAUCCUCAUAAUUUCAUUAAGCAAACCAUGACAUUAUUUAUGGCUAAGUAGAGACAUAUUCUUCAUGACAAGAUAAUUGUGCAUUACAUAAAUGCCAUGUUUAAUUGCAAGUAAUAUUUUAGCAUUUUCAUUAUGCUUUCAUAAAUGCAAAUUACUCGUUAUUGCUAUUGCUUUUGACUUACCCUUUUCUUUUGGGCCUAGUGGUGCAAUGAGCUGAGGUCAGUAAUUGCCCACUGGGAACUAUAAAUUAUAGUUCUCACGCCCUCUGUUUUAUGUUUUCUUUCAGAGCCUUCCACGCCGGGAGAGGCUAGGGACCGCGGGAAGGGAGUUGCUUCGAGCUAGCUUCCUUCGAGGACGAUUUGAUAGGUGGUCUACCUCCCGUGGUUUUAUUUUGUGAGAGGUUGUGAGUUGUACCCGUUUAUGUAUAGAGACCAUCCUUCUUUUGGAUCUUUGUUUUCCUUUUGAGGAGAUAGUAUUGUACUACUUUAUGGCUACAUUUAUUGUUUAGUUAUGUUUCUUUUACUCUGGUUUAGAUGAUAGAACUUUACUCGCUCUGAUAUCAUUAGUUAUCACUAUGCUAUUUGUUCUACUUCUUGCUUUACUUCCGCUUUUGUUGUAGACGCCUUAUAUGUGUAGACAUAUGGCGGGUCUGGGCGCGCUACCGGGAGGGCCUUCGCCGGUCCCGGGGCGUGACAGACACGGUGUUAAGAAUGAAUAAUCACUACUAGAUAGGCUUAGUAGUUGGAUUACUUGACACGCUCAUGACAUAGCAUUGGGAUAUAUAUAGUAUACUUGCCUGUUUCAUUCAUUGUGUCAUAGUAUACUGGGUUGCAUGAUAGAGCUCAUUCUUUAUGUAUGACAUCUUGGACAGUAGCGUUUACUUGUUGCCAUCGGACGUACUUAUUUAUGAUAGAGUAGAUGUACAUCAUACUUACAUCAUGCUUACUUGAGACAUAGUAAUAUAGCAUUUCAUAUAUGCUUUCUUUCAGCAGUUAUUGUACUCGCUCUUUAUUGCUUAUUAUUAUUGUCGUUACUUACCCUUUUCUUUUGGGGCCUAGUAGUGCAUUGAGCUGAGGUCAGUAAUUGCCCACUGGGAACUAUAAAUUAUAGUUCUCACGCCCUCUGUUUUGUGUUUUCUUUCAGAGCCUUCCACGCCGGGAGAGGUUAGGGACCGAGGAAAGGGCGUGGCUUCGAGCUAGCUCUUCAGCGAGUGACGAGUCGCUAGGUGGUCUACCUCUCGAUGUUUUUAUUUUGGAGAGGUUGAGAGCUGUACCAGUGUACUAGAGACCACCCCUUUUGUGUACCUUUUUGGACAGAUAUUGUAUAUCUUUGUGUUUCACUCUU
Molecule: long non-coding RNA, 1448 nt
Filed under: Ananas comosus (pineapple)
Lineage: Eukaryota; Viridiplantae; Streptophyta; Magnoliopsida; Poales; Bromeliaceae
Description: long non-coding RNA (ACOM_LNC037002)
Source: RNAcentral